RNAcentral lists this ribosomal RNA (253 nucleotides) under uncultured bacterium. RNAcentral describes it as "partial 16S ribosomal RNA". It matches the Rfam family "Bacterial small subunit ribosomal RNA", at positions 524 to 776 of the family's 1533-position model. The record is from RNAcentral.
GACGAAGGAUGCAAGCGUUAUCCGGAUUCAUUGGGUUUAAAGGGAGCGUAGGUGGUCUUAUAAGUCAGUGGUGAAAUCUCGCAGCUUAACUGCGAAACUGCCAUUGAUACUGUAGGACUUGAGUAUAGUUGCUGUGGGCGGAAUAUGACAUGUAGUGGUGAAAUACUUAGAGAUGUCAUAGAACACCGAUUGCGAAGGCAGCUCACAAAACUAUAACUGACACUGAGGCUCGAAAGUGCGGAGAUCAAACAGG